GCCGUGACCCAGACGCGGGGUUGGCUGGACUGUCAGCCAUGGCGUGGGUACCCGCGGAGUCUGCAGUGGAAGAGUUGAUGCCCCGGCUGUUGCCAGUGGAGCCCUGCGACUUGACAGAAGGUUUCGACCCCUCCAUCCCCCCGAGGACGCCUCAGGAAUACUUGAGGCGGGUCCAGAUCGAAGCCGCUCAGUGUCCAGACGUUGUGGUAGCUCAGAUUGACCCAAAGAAGUUGAAAAGGAAGCAAAGUGUGAAUGUUUCUCUUUCAGGAUGCCAACCAGCUCCUCAAGGCUAUUCCCCCACACUUCAGUGGCAACAGCAACAAGUGGCACAAUUUUCAACUAUUCGACAGAGUGUGAACAGACAUAGAAGUCACUGGAAAUCACAACAGUUGGAUAGUAAUGUGACCAUGCCAAAAUCUGAAGAUGAAGAAGGCUGGAAAAAAUUUUGUCUGGGUGAAAGGUUAUGUUCUGAAGGGGCUGUUGGACCAGCUAAAAAUGAAAGUCCUGGAAUAGAUUAUAUACAAAUUGGUUUUCCUCCCUUGCUUAGUAUUGUUAGCAGAAUGAAUCAGGCAACAGUAACCAGUGUCUUGGAAUAUCUGAGUAAUUGGUUUGGAGAAAGAGACUUUACUCCAGAAUUGGGAAGAUGGCUUUAUGCUUUAUUGGCUUGUCUUGAAAAACCUUUAUUACCCGAGGCUCAUUCACUGAUUCGGCAACUUGCAAGAAGAUGCUCUGAAGUGAGGCUCUUAGUGAACAGCAAAGAUGAUGAGAGAGUUCCUGCUUUGAAUUUAUUAAUCUGCUUGGUUAGCAGGUAUUUUGACCAACGUGACUUAGCUGAUGAGCCAUCUUGAUGUUGCUGAUCUCUCAGGGGUAGAAGAUACUUGUGAUGAAGGCAGACUGUCUGAGGAAAUACAAUGCCAAUGAAGUGAGAUUGCAUCACAUUUUCAACAGCAUGUAAAAGAAUGGGUAACAGCCUUAUGAGGACCUACUUCCUAAGGUUGUAAGGAUUCAAUGAGAUAACACACAUAAAGAAUUUGUGUAAGUGUUUGACUUAAAGUGCUCAAAUGAUUAUUAAGUUACUAAUCAUUAUUAAUAUGACAUCAAGAAAAAUUUUCUGGCCUUGGCCAGGUAGCUCAGUUGGUUAGAGUAUUGUCCCCAUAAGCCAAGGUUGCUGGUUUGAUCCCCUCAGGGCACAUAUAAGAAACGAAUGAAUGCAUAAAUAAGUGGAACAAAUAGAGUUUCUCUCUCUCUCUCUCUUUCCAUUCCUCUCUCUCUAAAUUCAAUUUUAAAAAGAAAGAAAAAAAUAUGUUCUGUUCAAGUCUUACCUUCUACUUUUAUAAAAUGGAAAAAAUGCCUACCUCAUAGAGUGGCUAUAAGGACUAAGUGAAAGAUUUAUUUUGCAUAGUGUUAAUAAAUGAGAUAGUUUUGCUACUGAGUGGCCCUAAUUCACAGAAAAGAUCAAUUUAAUAUACUAAGGUAUAAUUCAGAAUUGGUUAUCAAUAUAUUCCUAAAAAGCAACCAUAACAUAAAAGAGAUAGAGAAAAAAGAAAGUGUCAGCUCUGGCUGGCUGGCUGAGUUGGAGAACCCAUUUUUAUAAUGACUCAUUUUGGCAUAAGGAUUUUUUUUCAGGAAUGUAAGGACAAAAAAUAGAUAUUUUAAGGCAUUAAUCACAAUUAAAAGUAUCUUCCAAUUUUAAUGAAAAAUUGAAGAAAGUUCAUCCACUCUUAACAGAGGUAUAAAACCUUAAAUUUGUUGAGAAAUUAUACAUUUUAAAGGUAUAAUUUAGAAGUAGUUAUUUUGAAAAUAAUAGCUACCAAAUAGUAAUUUAAUUACCAUUUGGAGGUCUGUGGAACAAUGACAAAGUAAAUUAAAUUGCACCUGUAUUUUUUUAUUCACAUAAAAGAUAUAUAUAUAUUUUUUUUUGGUCAGGAGGAUAUUAUACACUUACUAAAUUUUGAUAAUACUUUUAUUAAAAUUUUAUUAAUUUUUAAGUAAAAUUAUUUCAUGUGUCUCUUAGAAUAAACCAAUUAGAAGCUGACUUAUAAUAAAAUUGAUUAACGUUAUUUAAUCUACUCUCUGGGACAGAAAGAAAAAUGUUUUAUAGACCCUAGCCAGGUAGCUCAGUUGGUUAGACGUCAUCCCAGUAUGCCAAGGUGUAGGUUCGAUUUCUGGUAGAGGCACAUACAAGAAUCAACCA
Molecule: RNA transcript, 2194 nt
Organism: Myotis myotis
Lineage: Eukaryota; Metazoa; Chordata; Mammalia; Chiroptera; Vespertilionidae
Gene: GEMIN2
Gene name: gem nuclear organelle associated protein 2
Exons: 11
Source: RefSeq, a predicted model, not a curated record